This is a non-coding RNA of Arabidopsis thaliana (thale cress), 214 nucleotides long. NCBI's taxonomy places the organism in Eukaryota, Viridiplantae, Streptophyta, Magnoliopsida, Brassicales, Brassicaceae. The record is from RefSeq.
UUGUCGUCUAUGAUGAAUAUAGUCAAUUUUAUCGGUCUGCAAUAGGCAAAUAAAACAUGCAAUUACUUUGGUCACGGACAAAUUAUUUUUAUGGCUAUUGAGACCAUCUUUAAGUAAUAAAUAAAAAAUACGAUUAUCCACGAACAAAGUAAUCAUCUGUUUUAUUUGCCUAUUGUAGACCGAUAAAAGUGACUAUAUAUAUCAUAGACGACAU